UGAGGAAUAUUGGGCAAUGCCCGCAAGGGUGACCCAGCAACGCCGCGUGGAGGAUGAAUGUCGUAAGAUUGUAAACUCCUGUUAGAGGGGAAGAAUAGUACCGGUUGGACCGGUAUAUGACUGUACCCUCAGAGAAAGCCCCGGCUAACUACGUGCCAGCAGCCGCGGUAAUACGUAGGGGGCAAGCGUUGUCCGGAUUUACUGGGUGUAAAGGGUGCGUAGGUGGGCUUAUAAGUCAGUGGUGAAAUCUCCGAGCUUAACUUGGAAACUGCCGUUGAUACUAUAGGUCUUGAAUUAUCCGGAGGUAAGCGGAAUAUGUCAUGUAGCGGUGAAAUGCUUAGAUAUGACAUAGAACACCAAUUGCGAAGGCAGCUUACUACAUAUAAAUUGACGCUGAGGCACGAAAGCGUGGGGAUCAAACA
This 422-nucleotide ribosomal RNA is filed under the name uncultured bacterium. RNAcentral's name for it is "bacterial SSU rRNA". It matches the Rfam family "Bacterial small subunit ribosomal RNA", at positions 355 to 774 of the family's 1533-position model. The record is from RNAcentral.